GGCCCAAAGGCAGUGAGUUAUCUCAAUUGAUUGCUCACAGUCAGUUACAGAUUUAAGUCCUUGCUCCACUCUUUCCCCUCUUCUCACCACUGCACUUGACUAAUCUUAA
Molecule: Y RNA, 109 nt
Filed under: Gorilla gorilla gorilla (western lowland gorilla)
Lineage: Eukaryota; Metazoa; Chordata; Mammalia; Primates; Hominidae
Description: Y RNA (ENSGGOG00000032092.2)
Rfam family: Y RNA
About the family: Y RNAs are components of the Ro ribonucleoprotein particle (Ro RNP), in association with Ro60 and La proteins. The Y RNAs and Ro60 and La proteins are well conserved, but the function of the Ro RNP is not known.
Source: RNAcentral